GGCAAGGGCACUCUGUGUCACAUUGAUAAAUUUACCACAAUUGGAACAAUUUGUAACCUUGCUGUAUUAAUUAUUUAUUUUAUGAUUUUACUCUAU
Molecule: non-coding RNA, 96 nt
Organism: Musca domestica (house fly)
Lineage: Eukaryota; Metazoa; Arthropoda; Insecta; Diptera; Muscidae
Source: Rfam